Molecule: unclassified non-coding RNA, 327 nt
Filed under: soil metagenome
Description: partial contains 5.8S ribosomal RNA, internal transcribed spacer 2, and large subunit ribosomal RNA
Rfam family: 5.8S ribosomal RNA (bases 1-120)
Source: RNAcentral
GAUGAAGAACGUAGCGAAAUGCGAUAAGUAAUGUGAAUUGCAGAAUUCAGUGAAUCAUCGAAUCUUUGAACGCACAUUGCGCCCCUUGGUAUUCCGAGGGGCAUGCCUGUUCGAGCGUCAUUUUGACCACUCCCGCUUGCGGGGUCUUGGGCCUUCGCCUCUGGGCGGGCCUUAAAAUCAGUGGCGGUGCCGUCCGGCUCUAAGCGUAGUAAAUCUCCUCGCUAUAGGGUUCCGGAGGGAUGCUGGCCAACAACCCCCAACUUUUAAGGUUGACCUCAAAUCAGGUAGGACUACCCGCUGAACUUAAGCAUAUCAAUAAGCGGAGGA